Molecule: long non-coding RNA, 605 nt
Filed under: Pan troglodytes (chimpanzee)
Lineage: Eukaryota; Metazoa; Chordata; Mammalia; Primates; Hominidae
Description: long non-coding RNA NONPTRT008742
Source: RNAcentral
UUUCUUUUUUUUUCUUUAGGUCUACUUUCCAGGACUACACUAAGAAUGAUAUUUUGUCCUCUUUCAGGGAUUUGAGUCAUAAUCAGUUGUCUAACUGGAACAUCAGCUUGGAAUCACAAACAUUACAGGAAGUGAAAAUGAAUUACAAUGAACUAACAGAAAUCCCAUAUUUUGGAGAACCUACAUCUAGUAUUACUCUACUUUCAUUAGUCCAUAAUAUAAUCCCAGAAAUAAAUGCACAGGCGCUCCAGUUUUACCCUGCUCUGGAGAGUUUAGACCUCAGCUCAAAUAUAAUAUCAGAAAUCAAGACAUCUUCAUUUCCUCGCAUGCAGCUUAAAUACCUGAAUUUAAGUAAUAACAGAAUAACCACCUUGGAGGCUGGUUGCUUCGAUAAUUUAUCAAGUUCCUUAUUAGUGGUAAAGUAAAACCGUAACCGAAUUAGCAUGAUUCCACCUAAGAUCUUCAAGCUGCCUCACCUCCAAUUCUUGGAACUUAAAAGAAACAGAAUUAAAAUUGUGGAAGGUCUUACAUUCCAAGGGCUUGACUCCUUAAGAUCUUUGAAAAUGCAGCGGAAUGGAAUUAGCAAACUUAAGGAUGGAGCAUUU